UGGGGAAUUUUGGACAAUGGGCGAAAGCCUGAUCCAGCAAUGCCGCGUGUGUGAAGAGGCCUUCGGGUUGUAAAGCACUUUUGUCCGGAAAGAAAUCCUUGGCUCUAAUACAGUCGGGGGAUGACGGUACCGGAAGAAUAAGCACCGGCUAACUACGUGCCAGCAGCCGCGGUAAUACGUAGGGUGCAAGCGUUAAUCGGAAUUACUGGGCGUAAAGCGUGCGCAGGCGGUUUGCUAAGACCGAUGUGAAAUCCCCGGGCUCAACCUGGGAACUGCAUUGGUGACCGGCAGGCUAGAGUAUGGCAGAGGGGGGUANAAUUCCACGUGUAGCAGUGAAAUGCGUAGAGAUGUGGAGGAAUACCGAUGGCGAAGGCAGCCCCCUGGGCCAAUACUGAGCUCAUGCACGAAAGCGUGGGGAGCAAACAGGAUUAGAUACCCUGGUAGUCCACGCCCUAACGAUGUCAACU
Molecule: ribosomal RNA, 467 nt
Filed under: uncultured bacterium
Lineage: Bacteria
Description: partial 16S ribosomal RNA
Rfam family: Bacterial small subunit ribosomal RNA
Source: RNAcentral